UAAUUUAUUGAAUUUUUUAUUUUAUUUAUUAAAAUUAAUUUUUCGUAGUUAAAUAGUCGUUAAAAUUUAUUGAAUUUUUUAUUUUAUUUAUUAAACUUAACCUUUCGUAGUUAAACAAUCGUUAAAAUUUAUUAAAUAUUUUAUUUUAUUUAUUAAAAUUAAUUUUCUGUAGGUAAACAGUCGUUAAAAUUUAUUGAUUUUUUUUAUUUUAUUUAUUAAAUUAACUUUCCAUAGUGAAGUAGUCAUUAAUGCUUAUUAAAUUUUCAAGAUUUUAGUUUUUUUCAACGUAGAUCAAACACAAACACAACAGUAGCUCCGCCCCCAAUCCUCGCCGUCGAUCUCCCCAUCGUCGUUUCAGAACCGCGGCUCCGCUCUGAUCCACGCCGUCGAUCUCCGCCAUCUUCUCCCCGCCGUCGAUCCAUCCCCAUACGAUUGAAGAUCAGUCGCAGGUCGAAUCAGUGCUCUGCACAAAGGGCAAGUUCUCUCUCGUUCGAACCUGAAAGCAAUUAUUGUGACCUUCUUGAAAGAUCAAAACUGACUUGUAGGCAGCAUCUCAUCUGAAGCUCGUAAAACCAUAACUGACUUGUGAUAAUCAUCUCACGUGGAGCUUGAAAGACCAUAACUGGCUUGUAAGCAUCAUCAUCUCGUCCAUAAUUUGAUAGACAAGAGUUGAAUUCUAAGCAUCACUCGUUUGAAGCUUGAAAAAUCGGAGCUGAGUGCUAAGCAUCAUCUCAAAAGGCCGAAAUUAAGUUAUAAGCAUCAUCUUACUUGGAGCUUGACAAACCUGUGUUCUGAGUGCGUCUCGUAUAGAGCUUGAUAGACAACCUUUAACCUUUUAAUAUUAUCUCGUCUGAAGUUUGAAAAAUCAAAAGUUAAUUUUGAGAAUCAUCUCAUCUAGAUACCUAACAAAAAUGUUUAUCAAUUAAUUGGUCAAUUUGUAUUGUCAUUAAUUUAAUAUAAAGAUAAUUUUGCCACGUUGAACAAA
Salvia miltiorrhiza (redroot sage) is the source of this 985-nucleotide long non-coding RNA. RefSeq lists it as uncharacterized. The transcript has 2 exons. Lineage: Eukaryota; Viridiplantae; Streptophyta; Magnoliopsida; Lamiales; Lamiaceae. The record is from RefSeq and is a predicted model, not a curated record.